GAGACCCACGCCCACAGUUGCCAGCGUACUCUCCGGAGCGACGGGUACACUGUGGGGACCGCCGCUGCUAAAGCGGAGGAAGGAAUGGGCAACGGUAGGUCAGUAUGCCUCGAAUGUCCCGGGCUACACGCGGGCUACAAUGGCUGGUACAAUGGGUAUCUACCCCGAAAGGGGAUGGAAAUCUCCUAAAGCCAGUCUUAGUUCGGAUUGAGGGCUGCAACUCGCCCUCAUGAAGCUGGAAUCCGUAGUAAUCGCGUUUCAAAAGAACGCGGUGAAUAC
Molecule: ribosomal RNA, 279 nt
Filed under: uncultured archaeon
Lineage: Archaea
Description: partial 16S rRNA
Rfam family: Archaeal small subunit ribosomal RNA
Source: RNAcentral